ACCGCCUUCUUAGCCUGGUGAGUAGCAUUGACUGCGUGGGGGAACACUGGCUCCGGUCCCGGUCGCGGUCGCGGCAAGUUACAUCGUCUUCCAAUCUGUCCGCGUCCGCCGCCGCCCGUGACAGAGCCAGCAUGUUCGGGAUGCUGAGCAGCAGCUUUGAGGAUGAUCCCUUCUUCUCUGAUUCUUUUAUUGCACACCGAGAAAGUAUGCGACAGAUGAUGAGAAGUUUUUCUGAACCCUUUGGAAGAGACUUGCUCAGCAUCUCUGAUGGUAGAGGAAGAGCUCAUCAUAAUCAUAUGAGACAUGAUGAUGGUGAAAAUUCCUUGACUGCAGUGAAUUCUCUUGUGCCUUUUGGCAGUUUUGGUGGUAUGCGUACAGAUGUCAACCCUUUUCAGGCAAUGGACCGAAUGAUGUUAAAUAUGCGAAACAGUAUGCAGGAAUUACAAAGAAACUUUGGUCACCUUUCAGUGGAUCCAAAUGGACAUUCAUUUAGUUCUUCCUCAGUUAUGACUUAUUCCAAAGUAGGAGAUGAACCCCCAAAGGUUUUCCAGGCCUCAACUCAAACCCGUAGGGCUCCAGGAGGAAUAAAGGAAACUAGGAAAGCAAUGAGAGAUUCUGAUAGUGGGCUAGAAAAAAUGGCUGUUGGUCAUCAUCUUCAUGACCGAGCUCAUGUCAUUAAAAAGUCAAAGAAUAACAAGACUGGAGAUGAAGAGGUCAAUCAAGAGUUCAUCAAUAUGAAUGAAAGUGAUGCUCAUGCUUUUGAUGAUGAGUGGCAAAAUGAGAUUUUGAAGUACAAACCAGUGGGACAGUGGCGCAAUGUAGAAAACCCUAGGAUGAGAAGCGUUGGUCAUGAGAAUUCAGGUUGCCGAGAGCUUAAAAGAAGGCCUUAAGAGAGUGGAGGAUUGCUGCAGAAGGUGGAAGGCUUCACAGAACCAGCGGUGGACAAGUGGCUAUCAAGGAGAAACCUCAUCAAAGUCCAGCCAUUGAACAUGGAAGAAGAUCAAAUGUUUUUGUGGACAAACUCAACAUCAAAGGAUCACCUGUGAAAAUCAACAAAAAAUAAAUAGCCUUGCAUUUGAUUUCUUUAGUUUUGAUUGUUUUAACAGAGAAAGUAAUGGUGCUGGGUAAUACAUAUAAGACCAAUCUCUUGUUAAAUCAGUACUGUAUUUAACUUUCUUCUGAAUGUUCUUGGAAGUACUAGCUUUAUAUUGUCCAUACUUUAGGAAUAAAACUUUGAUUUUCAACAAUUCAAGUUGCUAAACAUUCUAUACACUCUUUUCUUUAAAACAUACUAAUUUUUAAGGCUGAUUUUGCUUUCCCAAUUAUCUUCCUAUUGGCUGUGUUUUCUUUUAUAUAGUUAAGAUUGAAUGUAGAGCUAGUUUUAUCAUACGUAUUAGUUAUAAGAAAGUAAAAUAUUAAAAAAUAGUCAGUUUUCACGAACACACCACCACAGUGAUGCUAAGAAAGGUACAAUAAUUUAAAUCAGAUUUCAUGUGUUAUAUAGCCAGCUAGCUUAAGAUUUAAAAAAAGUAAAGCAAAAUUAUAUUAGUACUGUUUUAUGAGAAAUUAGUUAUUUUGAUAAAUUACAUUAAAAUCAAAGAAUUCUGAAUUUUAAGGAGAUUUUCAAUUGCUAAUAUAUGAGUUUUAUUCUUAUAAUUUCAUUAUACAGUGUAUUCUUUUUUUUCCACAUCACAUUCUUAACAUUCAUCAGACUUUACAUUGACCUUUCUCUUUAACUUCUUAAAGUAGCAUAUUUCUGCUCUCCUUUCCCACAAACAGCUUAAUCUGUCUCCACAGUUAACAUUCUAAAGUUGGAAUGUCCUUGGAGAAACUCUGCUCAGCCUUUUUGUGACAUUUAGAAAAAUGCAUUUGGUAUUCUGUAAACCUGGAUGAUUGAUUGUCUCAAAAUUUCUUUGACAGGUGAUAUGUGUUCUUGAGCAAGGUACUUAAUAAUUCAGUUCCCUUUUAUACCAUUUAAAAAUUCAUCUUUAGCUUUUUUAUUCUAGAAUUCAAGCAUUAAUCUGUUUUUAGAAAAAGUUUGAAGUUUAUGAGAAUAUUAAAUCUUAACCUUAAGUUUUUGUUGUUUCAGAGGAAAAAAGACCAGAAAAUCCACUAUCACCUUGUAAUCCUAAUAUCUUACUUUUUUCACUUUUGAAAUAGAACUAUGUGAUUGAGCUUAUACUUUCCUAUUUUCCAUAUUGUAUCCUGUUAAUUUUAUUAGUCGGUAUGUUUCAUGCCUGUAAUUAGUUACAAAAUAAGAUGCAUACCUGUCAAUUCAUUUUUAUAACAAAAAGUAAUUGAGCAUGUAUUAAUUAAAGAUGUUAACAUUUUC
Molecule: RNA transcript, 2332 nt
Organism: Lutra lutra (Eurasian river otter)
Lineage: Eukaryota; Metazoa; Chordata; Mammalia; Carnivora; Mustelidae
Gene: MLF1
Gene name: myeloid leukemia factor 1
Exons: 9
Source: RefSeq, a predicted model, not a curated record